This is a small nucleolar RNA of Meriones unguiculatus (Mongolian gerbil), 139 nucleotides long. RefSeq annotates it as small nucleolar RNA SNORA17. NCBI's taxonomy places the organism in Eukaryota, Metazoa, Chordata, Mammalia, Rodentia, Muridae. The record is from RefSeq and is a predicted model, not a curated record. The transcript has a single exon.
ACUACCCCUACAGGUACUGCAUAUGAGGCUGCUGUAUCAUGUAUCAUGUUUACCUUAGUAGGUGGCAGAGGAGAAAGGUGUGUCUUUACUCAGUGUUCUGAUGCAAUGUGAAUACCUAAAUGUUUACUAGCCUAACAUU